UUGCUUUUAAUUUUUUUGUUUUGACUCAGAAGUAAUACACGAUUUAUUCAAGAGUUUAAGAUUGGGCUAUCGACGAACGCGGGCCAGAGAACCUUUUGAGGGGCUCUCCGGCGGUCUUUGCAGACGGGUCCGCCGAAGCAACGUUGGUUUGGUAAACAAAGGGUUGGGAGGUCGAGCCUGUAAAAGACCCUCACUCUUUAAUGAUCCUUCCGCAGGUUCACCUACGGAAA
Molecule: unclassified non-coding RNA, 230 nt
Filed under: uncultured fungus
Lineage: Eukaryota; Fungi
Description: sequence contains ITS1
Source: RNAcentral